GGCAACCCACUCCAGUGUUCUUGCCUGGAGAACCCCAAUAUGGCAGAGCCUGGGAGGCUGCCAUCUAUGGGGUCGCACACAGUUGGACACGACUGAAGUGACUUAGCAGCAGCAGACACUCAGAGGAACCCCUGGUGUCUCCACCAUUGUUCACUGUGGGGUGGGGUUCCCUCUAUUUACUGUGUUUCUCUGGGAGGCUGGACAGUCUGGACCUGCAGUGCUUGGCAGGCAGAGCAGGUGAAGUCUUAGGAGAGUGUCUGACAGAUCUAAAACUUGCACUCAAGUUCUGCUUUUAGUUGGUGGUUUGCAGUCGUAAGGGGAAAUUGACAACUAGAAACCGUAAUGGAGAAGGACACAGCUGUAUAAAUGGAGAGGACACUUUCAUGCAUAGUGAAUGAGGAGAGAAAUGAGGAUUUCUACACUGGGAGGAAGUGAAUGACUGUGAUAUUUGAGUGUAAGGAUAAGAUACUCACCUGACCUCUCGCCAACUGAAUACCAUGUCUUCAAGCAUACCUACAAUUUUUUCCAGGGAAGAAAAUUCCACCACAAACAAGAGGCAGAAAAUCCUUCCCAAUAAUUCAUCAAAUCCUGAAGCAUGGAUUUUUUUUUUUUUGAUCGUUGUUUUUAGGUUACUUUUUUUGAAAAAAAAAAAAUCAGAAUUACAAAAAGCGUUGGAGUGGUUAUGUUCCCUUCAAGGUCCUCAGAGCAACAAACAACAUAGCCAGAGCUAGAGUAUUUUUACUUCUAACAUGUGAAUCCAAAAGACAGCUCAUGGAAUUGUAAAAUGCAUUUUUUAGUGAAGUUGCCAUUCAGGCUUGGUGUUUCUGUUUUAACGAAAAAACAAAGUAAGUCUUUUACAGUAAGAAUUUAAUAAAGGAAGAAAAAUCAUAAACUGACUAAAUACAAAAUAUACAUUUUCCCAUAAGUAUACAUACAUAAUAUUUUAUCAACAAAAUAAUUUAAAUAUUUAUAAAUAGUUAAAUAAAUAUUAAAUUAAAUAAAUAAAGGUCCAGGUAGUUAAAUAUGUAUAUAGAUCAGCUUCAGCAUCCGUGAGGGACCAGUGCCUAUAGAGUAGAACAUGAUGUUGCUUAAUAUUCCAGAAAACAUUUGACAUAUUGAUUCAUUUCAGUGCAUGAUGACAGCAGAAAUGAGAGUCUUCCACGUGGCAGCGCAGGAGGAAGUGUGGUCUGUUGGUCCAUGAGAAUCAUUUCCAUGUUGAACCAGAUUUCCCAAAUGACUUUCAAGUUACAAUCCAAGUCUAUUGUUUUCAAAUAAAAGGAAACCAUCUUUGUAAUUAAUCCAGAAUGGGAUAAAUAUUGAUUAUUUCAUGGACAGAUUUAACUUUUGGCUCUGCUCCUGAAUUCUUCUGAUUUUACAGUGGAUUUUAUGUCGUCUUGUCCCCUUAUGUUCCAAACUUCAAAUAAGAGAUAUGUGACCAUCUUUGGCAAAUCAGCUCUGUAGUGACUGAACUCUGUCUUCUCUGUGGUAUCCUCUGUACCAGGCCCAGUGUAAUCGCUCAACAAGUUGUUUUGUGGUUAUUUAUUUACUUAUUCACUUCUGGAUGCACUGGGUCUUCACUGCUUGCCUGGACUUUCGUCAGUUGUGGCCAGUGGGGAUCGCUCUUCCUCUCAGUACCCGGUUUACUUGCUGUGCGGUCCUUCUCAGGCUCUAGCGUGCAGGCUUCAGGACUUGCAGCGUGUGGGCUCUAGAGCAGGGUCUCAGUAACAGGGGAGCGCUGUCUUAGUUGUUCCGUGGCAGGUGGACACUUCCUGGACCAGGGAUCGAAUGUGUCUCUCCUGAAGAAAGAUUCUUCUUCACUGCACCAUCAGGGAAGUCCUCAACAAGUAAUUGUAGCUAAAGCAGUUUCUCAGAUUUCCUCCUACUACUGGAAGGCAUUUACAAAUGACCCAGCUAUUUUUCUUCAUCUGGACCCUAUUUCCUGUAGCUAUAAUAGACGGCGUCUGGAAUUUCCACUCUAUUCCUGCUGGUACCAGUCAUACUGAGUUUGUUGCUAAAACCACUAGGAGUCUCCUUCCUUGAAGGCACAUGUGGUCUGGGGAUUCAAGUAGCAAGUGCAACACGCUUUUCAGCCUUUGCCCAGCACUAUGUUAAACUCAGGAGGAUGCCUCACCCCAAUUGUCCUCAA
Molecule: long non-coding RNA, 2146 nt
Organism: Bubalus bubalis (water buffalo)
Lineage: Eukaryota; Metazoa; Chordata; Mammalia; Artiodactyla; Bovidae
Exons: 2
Source: RefSeq, a predicted model, not a curated record